GAAGAUUGUGAGCUUUUUGCAGUCAUAUCCCAUGAGAUCAGGAAUAAUUGCAAUGCAGAAAUUUUCAAUGGAAAUUGAAAGAUCCUCUGUCCAUGAUCAGCUUUGCAUCACACCAUCUUGCUAGAAGCCAACCACCAUUAUCCUAUGAGAUCAGGAAUAAUUGCAAUGCAGCAAUUUUCAAUGGAAAUUGAAAGAUCCUCGUCCAUGAUCGGCUUUGCAUCACACCAUCUCGCUAGAAGCCAACCACCAUUCCAGAUCUCAAUCCUAGCCGUACAAGUCGAACGUCGUUCGCCCCACCAUUUAUUCAAAUACAAAAUUAAUUUUCACGCAUCGGUUUCCACCUGCAACAAUCUGUUUGGCAUUGGCGUGGUUAUUCGUGAUCAUGAAGGCGUGCUUAUUGCUGUUUUGUCCGAAAAAUUUGAAGGGAUGGCAAACGCAUAAUUGGCAGAAUCUUGUGCUGCGUGGGAAGCUGUUAAUCUAGCAGAUGAUCCAAAGCAGCAAAGAAUUUGAUGAUCCCAAACUUUGUAUUGGAGGGAGGGAGAUGCAACCUCCGUAGGAGUGUUCAUCAGCCAGUGAUCGGUAAUUCGACUAAAAAAUAAUUCAAUUUUUUACGAUAUUUUUUUCCAGUAGGUCUAACAUUUGAUUACCAUCCAAAGCUUUAUUUGGUAAUUUGAGUAUUCAUAAUUGAAUUUUGGUAGGCUAAUCGGUAUUGUAGUAAUAUCCAAAAUUAAAAUUUGGGUUUUUUUGAUGUAAAUCAGUCAAGCAUUUUAAACAAAAUUGAGGUUAUUAAUAAAUUAAUUAAUGCAUUUUUAAGGUCGCACAUUCCUACAUUAGCAUUAGUACACUGACGGAUUAGGAACAUACAUGUAAUAUAUAAAAUAUAUCAUUAAAAUAUAAAAUUCCGUAAUUCAAUCAGUAUUCAAAAUUUUCAAAAUCAAAAUUAAAUAAUCAUUCCAAACUAUUUUACCAAACUUUAAAGAUUGGAUCAGUUUUACCGAAAUUCGUUUUACCAAUAUCCAAUACAGAAUCUAAAUUUGAUCGGCCGGCAAAUUUUUCAGUUUUUUUUUGAAACAAUUUGCACCCCUAUGCCUCGGUCAUUCUUUUUAAGGAAGAUUAUGAUACUCCUUCCGAUAUAGGUCCCAAUGAUAGAGGAAGUACAUUUAGUUUUACUAGAUCAAAACCUAUUAGAUAUCCAUUAAGUUCCUAGAGAAGCGAAAUAGAUCGUGCAUAGGCCAUUUCAUUAUGCAAAAAACGGCCAACACAGUUGAGUCCCUAUAGAAUUACCCUGUAGACUUUGUCAAGCAGAAUUGUACUGGACGAUUUUCAGCAAUUUUAUUAGUAAGAUUUCCGGCAAUUUUACUGGUAAUAUUAUCGUGUUCUGUUUUACAAUAAUAAAAAGGGUGCAAUGAUAAAGAAGUACCUCCAACAAAUGACGAUCCAACAACUUAUGCAUACAGGUCUACUCCCCAAAACUUCGCAGGUUGAUUGGUCCGGUAGUUUCGAUCCAAAGAUUUUAUCAGCUCCAUGUCCUCUUUUGCAAGCUCAAAGUCGAAAACUUUCAAGUUUUCCCGCAAUCUCUCU
RNAcentral lists this long non-coding RNA (1581 nucleotides) under Coffea arabica (coffee). RNAcentral's name for it is "long non-coding RNA (CARA_LNC007411)". Lineage: Eukaryota; Viridiplantae; Streptophyta; Magnoliopsida; Gentianales; Rubiaceae. The record is from RNAcentral.